UUUGCCUACGGGGCGCAGCAGUGAGGAAUAUUGGUCAAUGGCCGGAAGGCUGAACCAGCCAAGCCGCGUGAAGGACGAAGGUGCCAAGCAUUGUAAACUUCUUUUGUCAAGGGACAAAAUCAGGCUCGAGAGCCUGACCGAGGGUACUUGAAGAAAAAGCAUCGGCUAACUCCGUGCCAGCAGCCGCGGUAAUACGGAGGGUGCGAGCGUUAAUCGGAAUUACUGGGCGUAAAGCGCUCGUAGGCGGUAUGUCAAGUCAAGGGUGAAAUCCCCGCGCUCAACGUGGGAACUGCCUUUGAAACUGG
RNAcentral lists this ribosomal RNA (305 nucleotides) under uncultured bacterium. Its description in RNAcentral is "bacterial SSU rRNA". It matches the Rfam family "Bacterial small subunit ribosomal RNA", at positions 334 to 636 of the family's 1533-position model. The record is from RNAcentral.